GAUCCUGGCUCAGGGUGAACGCUGGCGGCGUGCCUAACACAUGCAAGUCGAACGAAGCUUGACGGAUGAUUUCUUCGGAAUGAAACCAGAUAUGACUUAGUGGCGGACGGGUGAGUAACACGUGAGCAACCUGCCUUUCAGAGGGGGAUAACGGCUGGAAACGGUCGCUAAUACCGCAUGAUGUGUUACGGAUGGCAUCAUCUGAACAUCAAAGAUUUAUCGCUGAAAGAUGGG
Molecule: ribosomal RNA, 234 nt
Filed under: uncultured bacterium
Lineage: Bacteria
Description: partial 16S ribosomal RNA
Rfam family: Bacterial small subunit ribosomal RNA
Source: RNAcentral